Molecule: ribosomal RNA, 429 nt
Filed under: uncultured bacterium
Lineage: Bacteria
Description: bacterial SSU rRNA
Rfam family: Bacterial small subunit ribosomal RNA
Source: RNAcentral
CGAACGCUGGCGGCAGGCCUAACACAUGCAAGUCGAACGAACCUUUCGGGGUUAGUGGCGGACGGGUGAGUAACACGUGGGAACGUGCCUUUAGGUUCGGAAUAACUCAGGGAAACUUGUGCUAAUACCGAAUGUGCCCUUCGGGGGAAAGAUUUAUCGCCUUUAGAGCGGCCCGCGUCUGAUUAGCUAGUUGGUUGAGGUAAUGGCUCACCAAGGCGACGAUCAGUAGCUGGUCUGAGAGGAUGAUCAGCCACAUUGGGACUGAGACACGGCCCAAACUCCUACGGGAGGCAGCAGUGGGGAAUCUUGCGCAAUGGGCGAAAGCCUGACGCAGCCAUGCCGCGUGAAUGAUGAAGGUCUUAGGAUUGUAAAAUUCUUUCACCGGGGACGAUAAUGACGGUACCCGGAGAAGAAGCCCCGGCUAACUUC